RNAcentral lists this ribosomal RNA (470 nucleotides) under uncultured bacterium. Its description in RNAcentral is "partial 16S ribosomal RNA". It matches the Rfam family "Bacterial small subunit ribosomal RNA", at positions 28 to 507 of the family's 1533-position model. The record is from RNAcentral.
GACGAACGCUGGCGGCGUGCUUAACACAUGCAAGUCGAACGGAAAACGAGGGCGCUUGCUCGCUGCGGGACAGGGGCGAAGGGGUGUGAAACACGUGUGCACUCUCCUUGACAUUGGGGUAUAAGCAGGAGAAUGGAGCUAUAACAGCGGAUAAGCUCCGGGUGCGCGGCGUCGCUGGGAGGAUAGAACCGCGGGUGGGGGGGGGCUCGCGGCCUAUCCGCUUGUUGGUGGGGUAGCGGCUCCCCAAGGUGACGACGGGUAGCCGGCCUGAGAGGGUGACGGGCCACACUGGGACUGAGAUACGGCCCAGACUCCUACGGGAGGCAGCAGUGGGGAAUAUUGCACAAUGGGCGCAAGCCUGAUGCAGCAACGCCGCGUGCGGGACGACGGCCUUCGGGUUGUAAACCGCUUUUGGCAGGGACGAAGCGAAAGUGACGGUACCUGGAGAAGAAGCACCGGCUAACUACGUG